UACGUAGGGUGCAAGCGUUGUCCGGAAUUAUUGGGCGUAAAGAGCUCGUAGGCGGUCUGUCGCGUCUGCUGUGAAAACUCGGGGCUUAACCCCGGGCCUGCAGUGGGUACGGGCAGACUAGAGUGCGGUAGGGGAGACUGGAAUUCCUGGUGUAGCGGUGAAAUUCGUAGAUAUCGGGAGGAACACCGGUGGCGAAGGCGGCGACCUGGGUAGAUACUGACGCUGAGGUGCGAAAGCGUGGGGAGCAAACAGG
RNAcentral lists this ribosomal RNA (253 nucleotides) under uncultured bacterium. Its description in RNAcentral is "partial 16S ribosomal RNA". It matches the Rfam family "Bacterial small subunit ribosomal RNA", at positions 524 to 776 of the family's 1533-position model. The record is from RNAcentral.